RNAcentral lists this ribosomal RNA (443 nucleotides) under uncultured bacterium. RNAcentral's name for it is "partial 16S ribosomal RNA". It matches the Rfam family "Bacterial small subunit ribosomal RNA", at positions 338 to 795 of the family's 1533-position model. The record is from RNAcentral.
CCUACGGGUGGCAGCAGUGGGGAAUAUUGGACAAUGGGGGGAACCCUGAUCCAGCGACGCCGCGUGAGUGAAGAAGUACUUCGGUAUGUAAAGCUCUAUCAGCAGGGAAGAAAGAAAUGACGGUACCUGACUAAGAAGCCUCGGCUAACUACGCGCCAGCAGCCGCGGUAAUACGUAGGGGGCAAGUGUUAUGCGGAUAUACUGGGUGUAAAGGGAGCGUAGACGGCGAUGCAAGUCUGAAGUGAACGGCGGGGGCCCAACCCCCGGAUUGCUUGGGAAACUGGAUGGCUGGAGUGCGGGAGAGGUAAGUGGAAUUCCUGGUGUAGCGGUGAAAUGCGUAGAUAUUAGGAAGAACACCGGUGGCGAAGGCAGGUUACUGGGCCGUUACUGACGCUGAGGCACGAAAGCGUGGGGAGUGAACAGGAUUAGAUACCCCGGUAGUC